GUGGGGAAUAUUGGACAAUGGGCGAAAGCCUGAUCCAGCCAUGCCGCGUGUGUGAAGAAGGUCUUCGGAUUGUAAAGCACUUUAAGUUGGGAGGAAGGGCAGUAAGUUAAUACCUUGCUGUUUUGACGUUACCGACAGAAUAAGCACCGGCUAACUUCGUGCCAGCAGCCGCGGUAAUACGAAGGGUGCAAGCGUUAAUCGGAAUUACUGGGCGUAAAGCGCGCGUAGGUGGUUUUGUAAGUUGGAGGUGAAAUCCCCGGGCUCAAACUGGGAACUGCCUCCAAAACUGCAUGACUAGAGUACGGUAGAGGGUAGUGGAAUUUCCUGUGUAGCGGUGAAAUGCGUAGAUAUAGGAAGGAACACCAGUGGCGAAGGCGACUACCUGGACUGAUACUGACACUGAGGUGCGAAAGCGUGGGGAGCAAACAGGAUUAGAAACCCCGGUAGUCC
This 450-nucleotide ribosomal RNA is filed under the name uncultured bacterium. Its description in RNAcentral is "bacterial SSU rRNA". It matches the Rfam family "Bacterial small subunit ribosomal RNA", at positions 354 to 796 of the family's 1533-position model. The record is from RNAcentral.